Amphiprion ocellaris (clown anemonefish) is the source of this 1128-nucleotide long non-coding RNA. The record is from Ensembl. Lineage: Eukaryota; Metazoa; Chordata; Actinopteri; Pomacentridae.
CUCCUCGUUUGGAUUAAUUCUGAUAUAAUAACUGUUGGUUUAUUUAUCGGUGGAGCAGCAGAACAUUUUCCACAGACAGUUUUCCUGCCCGUUGGCUUGUUUUAACCAGUUUUGUAUCUUCGGCUGAUUCUACCAGCAGACACUGAAAGGACUCUGAUAGUUCGAGUGAAAGUAGCAGUUCCUCCUGAAGGUCAGAGAUUGCAGCAUCUGAGGGCCUCUUCAAAAGAAGAUGUAGUUGAUGAAGGCGUUCUGGAGCAGGACCAGAAAGACCACGACCAAGCAGCCUUGAGAUCUUAGACAGCGUCUUCCUCAGGUCUCUCUCUAUCUCCCCACACAUCCACCAACCACUGGAACACAUCUCCAAAGUUCUGCUGGGCCAGCUCAGCUUCCCCUCAGAAGAAGUGGCGCCACCUGCCAGAUGAAGGAGCCUUUUGAGAGGCAGCUGGCAUCGUGAUUGGACUGUACUUUGGUCUGUUCCAGUCCAGCUUCAGCUCCAGAGACGGCAGGCGGGACGAGUCAACGGAGGCCGGGUGGACGAAGGCAUGCAGCUGAGUACAAUCCAGAAAACAACAGAGGAGGAGUGCAGUGACCCAGGGCCAGAAGAAACAGAGUAGCAUCGUAUGUCUCUUAGAAAACAUCAUAGUAUAGCCUUUGGUAUGAAAAAAUGCCAUCAUAUACAUCGUAUAUUGUACAAAUAACAAGUCAAAGCAAAGAGACAUACAUUGUAGAAUUGUAGUAAUUGUGGGCUGACUGAUUUACUGAUUAUCAGUAUUUUAUUUUUUACCGAUUUACGGUAAUAAAUACAUUUAAAAAUGGUGCUACUUUGGCUCUGAACCUUGAUCUACCUGUGGUCGCUCUGUCUUCUGGAGUGAUUUGAUUGGUUAUACGUCACGAAUAAAACUCCUUUAACUUAACAUCUGUAAACAAAACAAAAACGUAUCAACAAAGUUUUCUGUUAAAGUUUGUGUUCUUGUAAGUUUAACUCCAAGAUUUUAAAUACUUUCAUUUACUGCAAAUGAAUAUCCAAAUGAAUAUACCCCAAAUGUCUCACUAAUAAUCAUUAUCAGCCUUAAAAACCCACAAAACACCCCUCUAUACUCGACCACACUUAGUACAGUCCGGUUCCCC